This is a non-coding RNA of Neolamprologus brichardi, 361 nucleotides long. The record is from RefSeq and is a predicted model, not a curated record. Lineage: Eukaryota; Metazoa; Chordata; Actinopteri; Cichliformes; Cichlidae.
GUUGUUUUUACAGGUGAAACACAAUCGCCUCGUACAGGAGAUGAACCAUCCAACAGCAGGACGCAUCGCUGUAGUCGGUCCGGCGGUUCGUUUCAGCAGCUUCUCUCCAAGCGGCCCGACACCCCCUCCUCUGAUUGGCCAGCACACCGUAGAGGUGCUGCGAGACGUCUUAUCGUACAGCAAAGAAGUUAUAGAAACCCUGCUGGAGUCAAAAGCAGUGGUUCAGAAUGAAGUCUUCUGAUUGGCCAAAAGAAAAAUAAUUAACGAGAGAAAGGAAAAGACAACAACUGAUCAUUUUUAACUGAUCACUAGUUUUGAUUUUAAAAGACUGAUAAUUAAACAAUUAGAUUUCAGCUGAAAA